GCGGGAUUGGUUUAGUGGUAAAACGCGACCUUCCCAAGGUUGAGUCGCCAGUUCGAUUCUGGUAUCCCGCU
This 71-nucleotide transfer RNA is filed under the name bacterium. Its description in RNAcentral is "tRNA-Gly". It matches the Rfam family "tRNA". From Rfam's summary of the family: Transfer RNA (tRNA) molecules are approximately 80 nucleotides in length. The record is from RNAcentral.